UACGGAGGGGGCUAGCGUUGUUCGGAAUUACUGGGCGUAAAGCGCACGUAGGCGGCUUUGUAAGUUAGAGGUGAAAGCCCGGGGCUCAACCCCGGAACUGCCCUCGAAACUAGAUAGCUAGAAUCUUGGAGAGGCGAGUGGAAUUCCGAGUGUAGAGGUGAAAUUCGUAGAUAUUCGGAAGAACACCAGUGGCGAAGGCGACUCGCUGGACAAGUAUUGACGCUGAGGUGCGAAAGCGUGGGGAGCAAACAGG
RNAcentral lists this ribosomal RNA (253 nucleotides) under uncultured bacterium. Its description in RNAcentral is "partial 16S ribosomal RNA". It matches the Rfam family "Bacterial small subunit ribosomal RNA", at positions 524 to 776 of the family's 1533-position model. The record is from RNAcentral.